CUUCGGGUUCCCGAGCGGCCAAAGGGAGCAGACUGUAAAUCUGCCGUCAUCGACUUCGAAGGUUCGAAUCCUUCCCCCACCACCA
Molecule: transfer RNA, 85 nt
Filed under: Salmonella enterica subsp. enterica serovar Newport
Lineage: Bacteria; Pseudomonadati; Pseudomonadota; Gammaproteobacteria; Enterobacterales; Enterobacteriaceae
Description: tRNA-Tyr
Rfam family: tRNA (bases 5-77)
About the family: Transfer RNA (tRNA) molecules are approximately 80 nucleotides in length. Their secondary structure includes four short double-helical elements and three loops (D, anti-codon, and T loops).
Source: RNAcentral